GAUGAAGAACGUAGCGAAAUGCGAUAAGUAAUGUGAAUUGCAGAAUUCAGUGAAUCAUCGAAUCUUUGAACGCACAUUGCGCCCCUUGGUAUUCCGAGGGGCAUGCCUGUUCGAGCGUCAUUAUAACCCCUCAAGCUCAGCUUGGUGUUGGGGCCUGCUGCACUGGCAGCCCUUAAAAUCAGUGGCGGCGCCAUCUGGCUCUAGCGUAGUAAUUCUUCUCGCUAUGGAGUCCUGGUGGAUGCUUGCCAUCAACCCCCAAUUUUUCUAUGGUUGACCUCGGAUCAGGUAGGGAUACCCGCUGAACUUAAGCAUAUCAAUAAGCGGAGGA
RNAcentral lists this unclassified non-coding RNA (328 nucleotides) under soil metagenome. RNAcentral describes it as "partial contains 5.8S ribosomal RNA, internal transcribed spacer 2, and large subunit ribosomal RNA". The stretch from base 1 to 120 matches the Rfam family "5.8S ribosomal RNA", at positions 35 to 154 of the family's 154-position model. The record is from RNAcentral.